Molecule: ribosomal RNA, 420 nt
Filed under: uncultured Planctomycetaceae bacterium
Lineage: Bacteria; Pseudomonadati; Planctomycetota; Planctomycetia; Planctomycetales; Planctomycetaceae
Description: bacterial SSU rRNA
Rfam family: Bacterial small subunit ribosomal RNA
Source: RNAcentral
AGUCGAGAAUCUUCGGCAAUGGGCGAAAGCCUGACCGAGCGACGCCGCGUGCGGGAUGAAGGCCCUCGGGUUGUAAACCGCUGUCGUAGGGGAGGAAGGCUCUGUGAAGAGCAGAGUUUGACCUAUCCUAGGAGGAAGUACGGGCUAAGUUCGUGCCAGCAGCCGCGGUAAUACGAACCGUACAAACGUUAUUCGGAAUCACUGGGCUUAAAGGGUGCGUAGGCGGCCACGUAAGUGAGAUGUGAAAUCCCUCGGCUCAACCGAGGAAGUGCAUUUCAUACUGCAUGGCUUGAGGGAGACAGGGGUAAGCGGAACUGAUGGUGGAGCGGUGAAAUGCGUUGAUAUCAUCAGGAACACCGGUGGCGAAAGCGGCUUACUGGGUCUCUUCUGACGCUGAGGUACGAAAGCUAGGGUAGCGAA